CUUGUUGCUUGCUUAUUUGAAUCCUCCCUCUCCUUCCAGGCUUGGCUCGGGCACCACCCAGGCCUUCAUGAAGCCUGGCCCAGAUCCCCUCAGCCAAAAGUGAUCCCUCCCUCCUCAUGUUUCCUCAGAGCACUUGGCCUCCCUCUCCUACGUUCUCAUCCUGUUGGAUUGUGUGUGGGGCACGUUUGUGCAGCUCUCAUCCAUCCCUCAGCUGAGGGGAGGACCCAUAUCCACAAGGCCUGGCACAGUGCCUCGUUCAGAGUGGGCCGAGUGGUGAAGGGCCUUUGGAUUGUGGGACCGAGUCUAUGCUGUUCUUUGUCGUUAUCUGAAUCUCUGAAACAGGAGAUUCAGUGGAUGGAACACUGGGCCUAGAGUCAAGAGGACCUGAGUUCAGAUCUGCCCUCAACAUUUACUAGCUCGGGGCAAGUCUCUGUUUGCCUCCGUUUCCUCAUCUGUAAAAUGGGGAUAAUAACAGCACCUACCUCACAGGGUGGUUAUGAGAAAUAAAUCAGAGAAUAUUUUUAAGUACUUUGCAAACCACAAAGCACUGUAUGAAGGGCUAGCUAUUAUUAUCGUUAAUUUCUCAUAGGACAGUCUCAUAGUGCUCUUAAUUACAUUGUGUAGCUUAUUUCAGUUCAAGAUGAUUGAAUCUCAGGAUCUUGUAACGACUCUAAGAUCAUUCCAGUGGUGAAAAUAUUUUUUUCAUCCUUUGUUGAUAAUGGAGAAUUUAAUAAACUGGAAAGCAUUUUUUCAGACUCCUCCACCAAAUGUAUAUUCGUGAAGCAUGUGGUUUUCAGAUUUUAUUUUCUCCUAAUUCCUUCCCGGUCUUACAGCUUAUGUUCCUUAGAAUUUGUUUCCUUUCUGCCUAAUGUCUCCUUCACUAACUGCUCUCUUACCGCCUUUUUCUGAUGGCAGGUUUCCUCGCCCAAAUUCAUUACGUCAACGACGUCGGCGUCUUCUUCCGUCCUUUUGUCGCCCAGUGUUUUCCAGCAGUCCGUGACAAAACCCCCAGAGCUAGAGAAGAAAGCCAGUCCCCCUUCUCGAUCAGGCGGGGCCUCAGAACAUCCAACAAAACCUCCUUUGGUUCUCAGCCGGUCUCAGCUCCAGGACACAUUAAUACAUCUAAUCAAGAAUGAUGCCAGCUUUCUCAGCACACUUCACGAAGUCUAUUUGCAAGUCCUGACCAAGAACAUAAAUAACCUGCAGCUCUAGUGACCUGAGCUAAAGCCACCGGGCACUCUGUGUGAGGGGGUGGAUGUCUGCUCAGUAACAAAUACGCCUCAUUAAUGGAACUGGUAUGAGAGGUUUCAUUUUUAAAGAAACAAUGCUUAGUCUGGAAAGUCCUGAAAUUGAGCCUAUGAGAGAGAGAAAGAGAGAGACUUGUUCUUAAAGAAUGUUUUAAGGUUAUAUUCUCAGAAAUGAUGGAGAUUUCACUGUGAAGCAUCACCAGCAACCCUUUAUUGUAGUGGGAAAAAAAAGACCAUUUAUGAAAAAUUGCAUGGGCCUUGUCAUCAGCGUCAAGCAUGUGUGGUCCACCAGGAUGGAGAUGUGUGACCUCCCCCAGUUCAGAAGACACACGGGGCAGGGAGUGGAACUGGGAAGUGAAGUGCUCAUCCCAGGGACCUCAUGCAGUGCUCCACCUUGCAAAGAUCAUUUGCUUCCAAAAGGGAGCCGCCUUUAGCCCCCUCGUCCUGAGAUUUGACCUACCAGUGAAAUUCGGAUAAGAUGGAAAUUUUGUAACGCAGAAUGGUUUCCAGUUUGUCUGUCCCACCUAAGCUGAAGACGUAUUUAUGACUCUUGUUCAACUGCAGGUUAUGGGAUAAGAAUGGUGUCACUGGGCCUUAAGGUCCUGAAGUUUCAUGGUAAAAAUUUAUUAUUUUUUAAUUGUUGUCCUAAUACUGACCAGACCAUAACGAAUCUGGCUGCUGGUGUGAGAAUUACCUUUUCUUUUUCAUAUUUUACUUAAUUGGCCAAUUGGCAAAGCCAAAAUCCUGUUAGACUUAAAAACAUUUUUUAACUGCCAGGUGGUUUUAAAGGAGAUAUCAAGUUUCUUUUUAUACAUGAAAACUACUACUAAGUGUAUGUAACCUCAUUGUCCUUUUCUAUCUAAGCAUGAGUUCACAACAAUUUAGAUCCCUCUUCUUAACUGUAAGGAAAAAACCAACCAUUGGACCAAUACAACAUGACCCCUGGGGUCCGACUGUUCCUCACACCUUUGACUUAAUAGGAAUAAAGCUAUGCAGGAAAGGGAACA
This 2254-nucleotide long non-coding RNA is filed under the name Vombatus ursinus (common wombat). Its description in RNAcentral is "lncRNA (ENSVURG00010012653.1)". Lineage: Eukaryota; Metazoa; Chordata; Mammalia; Diprotodontia; Vombatidae. The record is from RNAcentral.